GGUGAGUAACGCGUGAGAAUCUGCCUUCAGGAUGGGGACAACAGUUGGAAACGACUGCUAAUACCCAAUAUGCCUACGGGUGAAACUUAUUUGGCCUGAAGAUGAGCUCGCGUCUGAUUAGCUAGUUGGUGGGGUAAGAGCCUACCAAGGCGUCGAUCAGUAGCUGGUCUGAGAGGAUGAGCAGCCACACUGGGACUGAGACACGGCCCAGACUCCUACGGGAGGCAGCAGUGGGGAAUUUUCCGCAAUGGGCGAAAGCCUGACGGAGCAAUACCGCGUGAGGGAGGAAGGUUUUUGGAUUGUAAACCUCUUUUCUCAGGGAAGAAUUUUGACGGUACCUGAGGAAUAAGCAUCGGCUAACUCCGUGCCAGCAGCCGCGGUAAUACGGGGGAUGCAAGCGUUAUCCGGAAUUAUUGGGCGUAAAGAGUCCGUAGGUGGUCAUGCAAGUCUGCUGUCAAAGCCCACAGCUUAACUGUGGAUCGGCGGUGGAAACUGCAUGACUUGAGUACGGUAGGGGUAGAGGGAAUUCCCAGUGUAGCGGUGAAAUGCGUAGAUAUUGGGAAGAACACCGGUGGCGAAAGCGCUCUACUGGACCGUAACUGACACUGAGGGACGAAAGCCAAGGUAGCGAAAGGGAUUAGAUACCCCUGUAGUCUUGGCCGUAAACGAUGGAUACUAGGCGUUGUCUGUAUCGACCCGGACAGUGCCGAAGCUAACGCGUUAAGUAUCCCGCCUGGGGAGUACGCACGCAAGUGUGAAACUCAAAGGAAUUGACGGGGGCCCGCACAAGCGGUGGAGUAUGUGGUUUAAUUCGAUGCAACGCGAAGAACCUUACCAAGAUUUGACAUCCCGUGAACUUUCCAGAGAUGGAUUGGUGCCUUCGGGA
Molecule: ribosomal RNA, 886 nt
Filed under: uncultured bacterium
Lineage: Bacteria
Description: bacterial SSU rRNA
Rfam family: Bacterial small subunit ribosomal RNA
Source: RNAcentral